UGAGGAAUAUUGGGCAAUGCCCGAAAGGGUGACCCAGCAACGCCGCGUGGAGGAUGAAGGUCGUAAGAUUGUAAACUCCUUUUGAAAGAGACGAAAAAUUGUGUUUCGUAAGGGACAUAACUUGACUGUAUCUUUAGAAGAAGCCCCGGCUAACUACGUGCCAGCAGCCGCGGUAAUACGUAGGGGGCGAGCGUUGUCCGGAUUUACUGGGUGUAAAGGGCGCGUAGGCGGGUUUGUAAGUCAGGGGUGAAAUCCUACAGCUUAACUGUAGAACUGCCUUUGAUACUACAAAUCUUGAGUUCGGAAGAGAGAAUCGGAAUUCCAGGUGUAGUAGUGAAAUACGUAGAUAUCUGGAAGAACACCAGUAGCGAAGGCGGUUUCUUGGUCCGUAACUGACGCUGAGGCGCGAAAGCGUGGGGAGCAAACAGG
RNAcentral lists this ribosomal RNA (429 nucleotides) under uncultured bacterium. Its description in RNAcentral is "bacterial SSU rRNA". It matches the Rfam family "Bacterial small subunit ribosomal RNA", at positions 355 to 776 of the family's 1533-position model. The record is from RNAcentral.